GAGGGUGCAGCUCAGGGGUAGAGCGUGUGCUUAGCACGCACGAGGUCCUGGGUUCAGUCCCCUGUACUUCCA
RNAcentral lists this transfer RNA (72 nucleotides) under Camelus bactrianus (Bactrian camel). It matches the Rfam family "tRNA". Rfam says of the family: Transfer RNA (tRNA) molecules are approximately 80 nucleotides in length. RNAcentral also lists the same sequence under 2 other names. Lineage: Eukaryota; Metazoa; Chordata; Mammalia; Artiodactyla; Camelidae. The record is from Rfam by way of RNAcentral.